GCUGGGAAUGGUGGCACGUACCUGUAAUCCCAGCUACUCAUGAGGCUGAGGCAAGAGGUUUGCAAGUUUGAGGCCAGCCUCAGUAAUUUAGCAAUACCCUGUUUCAA
RNAcentral lists this small RNA (107 nucleotides) under Marmota monax (woodchuck). The record is from RNAcentral. Lineage: Eukaryota; Metazoa; Chordata; Mammalia; Rodentia; Sciuridae.